UGAAAUGGACUGCAGUGUGCUCCAGUCUCCAGCAGGGGGGCAGUAAACCCCUAUGGACCUGAAAGGGACUGCAGUGUGCUCCAGUCUCCAUCAUCUGGCAGUAAAACCCUAUGGACCUGAAAGGGACUGCAGUGUGCUCCAGUCUCCAGCAGGGGGCAGUAAAACCCUAUGGACCUGAAAGGGACUGCAGUGUGCUCCAGUCUCCAGCAGGGGGCAGUAAAACCUUAUGGACCUGAAAGGGAAAGUGAGGAGUAAAAAUCAAAAGUGAAUUUACAUUGAUGUUUCCACGGAGACAUGAAUCAUAUCUACGAGGCACCAAACUGAAGAAAAUGAACUGAAACACGGAGGGACUAACUGAACUAAAAUAAUUCUGUUGCUAAAUGUUUUGCUACAGUGUUCUCUAAUCAAUAACACCCUGGAUUCAAAUACUAUUUGAAAUCUUUCCAACACUUUGAGCAUUUCCUUUGUCCUCCAGGUGGGCGGGGUUUGUUUGUACUUUUAGGACUUUUCUAUUGGUUCCAUUACAAAAAACUCAAACACUGCUAAUUAAAUAUUCAACAUUAUUUUAACGCAGGUCUGUUUCCACAUGCAAUAAGCCUGUAACGUCUUGUAUGAUCUCAUCAGGUAAAGGUGUGUCAAAUGGAAGGGCAAGUCUCACCACUGAGAGGAAAACAUCACUGGUCCACCUCUGCAUCAGGUCAGCUAUGUUGAUCAGUACUGUCCCAGGGAUGCUGGGAGCAGAGAUGAACUCCCUGACCUGGUACCACCUAUGGAGUUGUCAUUUUAAUAUCAGUUUAACCCCAUUACUGCUAUAACACAUAAACCAUGUUAAUAGAAUGAAAUGGAUCCAGGUUCCAUUUAUUCUACAUUAGAUUUACUGCCUGUGGAACACUUCUCCAUAGUGUCUGAAAUCAAGAUGACUGCAGGUCUGAAUCCCAAACUAAUGGGGGGAAAUGGAUCCAUCUAAUAAGAUGGUAUUUAGAGAAAUGUAGGGAAGCCAUCAAAACUAUGAAAUAACACAUAUGGAAUCAUGUAGUAACCAACAACGUGUUCAACAAAUCAAGUGGAGGCCCGGUCAUCUGAUGCAGCCCUUCAUCACUCUCCUUCUUGGUCAAAUAGCCCUUACACAGCCUGGAGGGGUGUUGGGUCAUUGUCCUGCUGAAAAACAAAUGAUAGUCCCACUAAGCACAAACCAGAUGGGAUGGCCUAUCGCUGCAGAAUGCUAUGGUAGCCAUGCUGGUUAAGUGUGCCUUGAAUUCUAAAUAAAUCACUGACAUUCACCAGCAAAGCACCAUCACACCUCCUCCUCCAUGCUUCACGAUGGGAGCCACACAUGCAGAGAUCAUCUGUUCACCUACUCUGCUCCUCACAAAGACAUCACACCUCCUCCUCCAUGCUUCACGGUGGGAACCACACAUGCAGAGAUCAUCUGUUCAUCUAAUCUGCUUCUCACAAAGACACAGUUGGAACCAGAUAUCUUAAAUUUGAACUCAUCAGACAAAAGGACAGAUUUCCACCGGUCUAAUGUCCAUUGCUCGUGUUUCUUGGCUCAAGCAAGUCUCUUCUUAUUAUUGGUGUCCAUUAGCAGUGGUUUCUUUGCAGCAAUUGAUAGUGAGGGUGUUUUCUGUUAACAGAAUGUGUUUCUUGUUAAAAGGCUGAAUAUCAAUAAAGGGAAUAAGCAAAGACACUG
Molecule: long non-coding RNA, 1690 nt
Organism: Oncorhynchus masou masou (cherry salmon)
Lineage: Eukaryota; Metazoa; Chordata; Actinopteri; Salmoniformes; Salmonidae
Exons: 2
Source: RefSeq, a predicted model, not a curated record